Molecule: non-coding RNA, 60 nt
Submitted as: unclassified sequences
Source: Rfam
GGCUUCAACAACCCCGUGGGCUGGGCCGCCGGGAAGGCGGCCAGCGAGCCCACUGGAGCC